UAAACACAAAGCAGAAAAGAGAAAAGAAAUAGAAAACCGACACCCUCGCCCAGUCACCCUCACAUCGCGAAACGAAGACGAAAACCCUCCUCUCAUCUCAGUCUUCGCUCGCCCUCGCCGAACGGUCCGAACUCCGAAGUUCGAACUCUCCUCUCAGUCUCAGUUGCUCGCCUUCGUCUCAGUCCAAACUCCGAAAACGAAAACCCUCUGGCCUCCUCUCAGUCUCACUCACUCUUGGUCGCUCGAUCCGGUCUCCGCCUUAGUCCCCUCGUCGAUCUGGCCCACGCCUCACGCUUCCGGUUCAGUCUCCCCUCAGUCCUUCCGAUACUAACUCACGCUUUCGUGUCUCGAGAAUAGUUAGAUUCUUCAAAGUUGUCACAACGGACAAGGAAUUAGACACUGCUGAAUCACCAUUUUCAAACUUCAUCGUUAUAGAAGAUAAAGAUGAUUUUGAAAUAGUACGGGUGGAAAAUGAAUGGCUACAAAUAUCCCUUUUGAUAAUAUUGAAUCAGAUAGCCCAUCAUGCUCGGUUGUUUUGAAAUAAGGAAUUGGAUUUGGAGCAUAAUGAUGAUUUUAAUGGCGUGAAAAUACCAAAGAUGAAAAGAAAACUAAUUCAAGUCAUGCGUCAUGUCUCAUGGUGCUUUUGAAUGUUAUUAUUGAACUUGAAAUUUUAUGUAAUAGGCCAAUUAGUUAUUAUUAAACUUGGACUUUUUGUUUCUCUUUUGAAUGUAGACUGAAUAUUUUGAGUAGGGACUUUGAACUUGGACAUUUUAAUUGAA
Long non-coding RNA from Benincasa hispida (wax gourd), 779 nucleotides. RefSeq lists it as uncharacterized. The record is from RefSeq and is a predicted model, not a curated record. Lineage: Eukaryota; Viridiplantae; Streptophyta; Magnoliopsida; Cucurbitales; Cucurbitaceae.